Molecule: non-coding RNA, 1085 nt
Organism: Cyanistes caeruleus (blue tit)
Lineage: Eukaryota; Metazoa; Chordata; Aves; Passeriformes; Paridae
Source: RefSeq, a predicted model, not a curated record
GGGCGCGCAGGGCUCGGUCCGGACUGCGCGUUCCUGAGGGACCCGGGCGCGCGGCCUGUCCUGUCCUGUCCUGUCCUGUCCUGUCCUGUCCUGUCCUGUCCUGUCCUGUCCUGCCCACAGACUUGUUCGGAGAGGCGGCAGGGGUGGACGGGAAAAAGGACUUGCGAAGAAGCUGAGCGACGUCCCCGGCUGGGGGUCCGCAGAGAGGAGUUGGUGGAGACCAAAAGCCUCCCUUGAGCCGUCCUUACGUCAGUUUUGGAUUGACUAUCACGGAAUUACCGCGAUUUGAGAUCACCCAGUCCGACUGUCCACCUGGCACUGCCACUGCAACCCUGAGCCACAUCUCCCAGCGCCACAUCCAGACUCUUCCUGAGCACCUCCAGGGAUCGUGACUCCAUUACCUCCCUGGACAGCUAUCCAGUACCUGUCCACCCUACUAAUAGUGGAAAAUUUUUUUCUGUUGUCUAAUCUGAAUCUCCUCUGUGUCACUUUAAGGCCACUUCCUCUAGUCCUCUCACUAUGUUACACUCAUUUGGUGACCUAUAAAUAUGUACCACUUGUACGGCCACAGGGUCGUACCCUGUAAGUCACAGUUAUGAGUCUCAAAACUGGAUAUAAUUAUUGUUUAUUCUAAAAAUACAUAUUCUGGUUGCCUAGUGCUUGAACUUCUGUCAGUAUUCCUCAAGUCCUCAAGUUCAUGCAAACCCUUUUCCAGGCUAUCCUGAUCUUUCUCCUAGUUGCUACUCCCAGCCACACCAUCAAGAAAUGUCACUGGUACUGUCCAUAAUUUAAUACAUGGAUGGACCUGUUACACUUCAGAUAUUUGUGAUGCUUGAUCUUUCAGGAGCUUCUUUCCAUGAGGGAGCAUUUCCUCUGUGACAUCUCUUAGACAACUUCUUACCCAUGCUGCAGCAUCUUAUCAACCCCUGUAUCAGCUUUCUGUGAAAUUAUGUGUCAAACACAGACUGAGGUCUAGUCAUGCUGAAUCUUCUGCCUUCCCCUUAUUCAGGAACCUUCCUCUACUCACAGAGAGUUCUGUGUUUGUUUCACAAAAUAUACCUUUGGUAAAGUCCUGUUGCAUUUUA